RNAcentral lists this ribosomal RNA (465 nucleotides) under Vreelandella stevensii. Its description in RNAcentral is "partial 16S ribosomal RNA". It matches the Rfam family "Bacterial small subunit ribosomal RNA", at positions 338 to 795 of the family's 1533-position model. Lineage: Bacteria; Pseudomonadati; Pseudomonadota; Gammaproteobacteria; Oceanospirillales; Halomonadaceae. The record is from RNAcentral.
CCUACGGGGGGCUGCAGUGGGGAAUAUUGGACAAUGGGCGAAAGCCUGACCCAGCCAUGCCGCGUGUGUGAAGAAGGCCUUCGGGUUGUAAAGCACUUUCAGUGGGGAAGAAAGCCUUGGGGCUAAUACCCUCGAGGAAGGACAUCACCCACAGAAGAAGCACCGGCUAACUCCGUGCCAGCAGCCGCGGUAAUACGGAGGGUGCGAGCGUUAAUCGGAAUUACUGGGCGUAAAGCGCGCGUAGGCGGUCUGAUAAGCCGGUUGUGAAAGCCCCGGGCUCAACCUGGGAACGGCAUCCGGAACUGUCAGGCUAGAGUGCAGGAGAGGAAGGUAGAAUUCCCGGUGUAGCGGUGAAAUGCGUAGAGAUCGGGAGGAAUGCCAGUGGCGAAGGCGGCCUUCUGGACUGACACUGACGCUGAGGUGCGAAAGCGUGGGUAGCAAACAGGAUUAGAUACCCGGGUAGUC